UUUAUUUUAUUCUUCAUCAUUAAGGUAACUGCAAACAUAUUGUUGAGAGAAAUGAAGAGGUACUUUUGGGGCUUUAGUCUGCAAUAACUUAAAGAAAAGGACCCAGA
Myotis davidii is the source of this 107-nucleotide non-coding RNA. The record is from Rfam. Lineage: Eukaryota; Metazoa; Chordata; Mammalia; Chiroptera; Vespertilionidae.